RNAcentral lists this transfer RNA (73 nucleotides) under Xenopus tropicalis (tropical clawed frog). RNAcentral's name for it is "Xenopus (Silurana) tropicalis (western clawed frog) tRNA". It matches the Rfam family "tRNA". From Rfam's summary of the family: Transfer RNA (tRNA) molecules are approximately 80 nucleotides in length. Their secondary structure includes four short double-helical elements and three loops (D, anti-codon, and T loops). Further hydrogen bonds mediate the characteristic L-shaped molecular structure. tRNAs have two regions of fundamental functional importance: the anti-codon, which is responsible for specific mRNA codon recognition, and the 3' end, to which the tRNAs corresponding amino acid is attached (by aminoacyl-tRNA synthetases). tRNAs cope with the degeneracy of the genetic code in two manners: having more than one tRNA (with a specific anti-codon) for a particular amino acid; and 'wobble' base-pairing, i.e. permitting non-standard base-pairing at the 3rd anti-codon position. Lineage: Eukaryota; Metazoa; Chordata; Amphibia; Anura; Pipidae. The record is from Rfam by way of RNAcentral.
GUCCGGAUAGCGAAGUCGGUAGAGCGUCAGGCUUUUAAUCUGAGGAGCAAGGGUUCAAGUCCCUGCUUAGGCA